Papaver somniferum (opium poppy) is the source of this 1868-nucleotide RNA transcript. It is a transcript of the gene named peptide deformylase 1B, chloroplastic/mitochondrial-like, with no coding region annotated. The record is from RefSeq and is a predicted model, not a curated record. The transcript has 9 exons. Lineage: Eukaryota; Viridiplantae; Streptophyta; Magnoliopsida; Ranunculales; Papaveraceae.
GCAUUUUCGCUCGGUUUCUUAUCCUGUAUCAGCACUGAACAGUCCUAGUAUCCAAGGAUUUCAAACCAACAAACAAUUACGUUAGACUUAAACCCGGUUCUGCUCUAAUUCCCCCUCUCAUCAUCCUCCCACCAAAAGUUUUUUUCUCUAUCUUCAUACUCUGUCCGAAAAUUUUCCGCGCCAUUAAAUGGCUUCUACUAACUUACUUCAAUCUUCAUCUAUAUCCUGCACACUCCUCCCUCACCUCUCACGACACAUUUCUCACUCCACCAACUUACGCCUCUACCACUCUUCUUCGUCUUCCAAUAAUCAAUCCCUCUCAUUUAAAACCCUAAAAGGAACUCCAUUAUUGGAUGUUUCAGCGCACGCCAAACGUAGGUUUACAUCUAAAGAAGUCGAAGUAGCUUCACCCUCUGAUCUCUUAUUUGAGUCACCACUCAAAAUUGUUGAAUACCCAGAUCCAAUUUUAAGAGCAGCGAAUAGGAAAAUCGAUACGUUUGAUGAUAAUUUAAAGAAAUUAGCAGAUGAGAUGUUUGAUAUUAUGUACAAAACUGAUGGUAUUGGGCUUUCGGCGCCUCAAGUUGGAAUUAAUGUUCAACUUAUGGUUUUUAAUCCGGAAGGGGAACGUGGUAUUGGCGAUGAAAUUGUUCUUGUAAAUCCAAGAAUUAGUAAAGUUUCACAGAAAAAGGUUCAUUUUGAAGAAGGUUGCUUAUCCUUUCCCGGAAUUUACGCAGAUGUUGAGAGACCAGAGUCUGUUAAGAUCGAUGCGCGGGAUAUUAGUGGUGAAAGAUUCACAAUUAGCUUAUCAAAACUCCCUGCACGGAUUUUCCAGCAUGAAUUUGAUCACUUAGAGGGAACUCUCUUUUUUGAUAGAAUGACCGAAGAUGUAAUUGAUAGUAUCCGUGCACAGCUACAGGCCUUAGAAAAGAAGUAUGAAGACAAGACUGGGGUUCCAAGCCCCGAGAAGGUUGACAAUCGUAGAAGACUAAGGGUGGUUGCUGGUUUUGGACAAUCAUGAAUCUGGAAACAGGAUUACGUGAUAUAAUUUGAUAUAGGACCCAAUUUGCACGUGUGGGGCUUCAUCAUGAAGAAGAAGCAAUAUCUCACGCAGUGGCAGGAGAUGCAAUGUAUUGGGAGCCGUAGAUGGAGGCUUGCCAAUCUGCAAACAGUCGAUUGGAGGGAGAGAGGGAGUGUUCAGCUCUCCAAAGGUCUGCCAACAGAAAGGGUUGAACAUCCGGUAGCGUUCUUGCUGAGGCUCAAGUUUGAUGUUGGUUAGUGUUACACCUUCACAUGGUGGAUUCCAUCGGUGUUGAGGCUGUUACCAGGAGAUGUGACAUUCAUAUUGAAGACCUCAACUCCAACACAGUUAUCAAACUUGAGGUGGCACUGCGGGCUGUUCUGAAUUGUUAUACCAGUAACUGUUGCAUUAAAGUUUCCGUAGAAUCUCAGUGCCUGCAUAGGAAAACCCAGUUCCCAAGUUCUGCUGAUGCAUAAUGUUUGUAAUUCGCAUUCUGCAUAGAAGCCAAAACGGCACACGUGAAGGACUCAAGAGCUUUGUCAAAGCCAAAGGCACUGAUUAUAACCACUCCUCUCAUGGUCACAUGCAAAGGUCACGGGUUAUUGUUCUACAUUUUUGUCUUGAUGAUUGUUAGCAAGCAACACAGAAGAGACGCUGCACCCCUUCAACACCAUAGAAAUGAGAAGGAAAAAAAACAGGUGGAUAUAUAACCAUAAUUUGAUAUAUACUCUCGUAAUUUUAUUGUUUCAUCUGUGUAGCAUUUCGUCUUUUUGUUUCUCAUUAACUACUAACAAACGCCAUUCACAGUUAGAUUCUUUUAAUCAUUUAAUGUCUCUACCAUUGAAGAUUA